Molecule: ribosomal RNA, 653 nt
Filed under: marine metagenome
Description: bacterial SSU rRNA
Rfam family: Archaeal small subunit ribosomal RNA
Source: RNAcentral
UGUUAAGUUCACUGCCUGGGGAGUACGGUCGCAAGGCUGAAACUUAAAGGAAUUGGCGGGGGAGCACUGCAACGGGAGGAGCGUGCGGUUUAAUUGGAUUCAACGCCGGAAAACUCACCAAGGCCGACUGUUAGAUGAAGAUCAGCGUAAUGAGCUUAUCGGAUUUUCAGAGAGGUGGUGCAUGGCCGUCGUCAGUUCGUACUGUAAAGCGUUCUGUUAAGUCAGAUAACGAACGAGACCCUCAUCUUUAUUUGCUACCCCAUUCCCCGGAAUGGGCGCACUAUAGAGAGACCGCUGGUGUGAAACCAGAGGAAGGCGAGGGCAACGACAGGUCAGUAUGCCCCGAAUGUCUUGGGCUACACGCGCGCUACAAAGGACAGGACAAUGGGAUGCUAGGCCGAGAGGCAUUCACGCUAACCCGAAACCUGUUCAUAGUUCGGAUUGAGGGCUGUAACUCGCCCUCAUGAAGCUGGAUUCCGUAGUAAUCGUGUUUCAAUAUAGCACGGUGAAUAUGCCCCUGCUCCUUGCACACACCGCCCGUCAAACCAUCUUAGUUGGGGGUGGGUGAGGCUGCGCUUCAUGGCGUAUUCGAGCCUGCCUUCGACAAGGAGGGUUAAGUCGUAACAAGGUAUCUGUAGGGGAACCUGCAGAUG